Molecule: ribosomal RNA, 255 nt
Filed under: uncultured bacterium
Lineage: Bacteria
Description: partial 16S ribosomal RNA
Rfam family: Bacterial small subunit ribosomal RNA
Source: RNAcentral
UACAGAGGGUGCGAGCGUUGUUCGGAAUUACUGGGCGUAAAGCGCGCGCAGGCGGCCCUUUAAGUCCGUCGGGCAAAUGCCGGGGCUCAACCCCGAUGCAUGCCGAGGAUACUGGAGGGCUGGAGACACGUAGAGGCAAGCGGAAUUCCGGGUGUAGCGGUGGAAUGCGUAGAGAUCCGGAAGAACACCGGAGGCGAAGGCGGCUUGCUGGGCGUGAUCUGACGCUCAGGCGCGAAAGCGUGGGGAGCGAACAGG